This 272-nucleotide ribosomal RNA is filed under the name Vibrio parahaemolyticus. RNAcentral's name for it is "partial 23S ribosomal RNA". It matches the Rfam family "Bacterial large subunit ribosomal RNA", at positions 1 to 280 of the family's 2925-position model. Lineage: Bacteria; Pseudomonadati; Pseudomonadota; Gammaproteobacteria; Vibrionales; Vibrionaceae. The record is from RNAcentral.
AGUGACUAAGCGUACACGGUGGAUGCCUUGGCAGUCAGAGGCGAUGAAAGACGUAGUAACUUGCGAUAAGCCCAGAUUAGGUAGUAACAACCAUUUGAGUCUGGGAUUUCUGAAUGGGGAAACCCACGUGCAUAAGCACGUAUCCUUACCUGAAUACAUAGGGUAAUGAGGCGAACCGGGGGAACUGAAACAUCUAAGUACCCCGAGGAAAAGAAAUCAACCGAGAUUCCGAAAGUAGCGGCGAGCGAAAUUGGACUAGCCCUUAAGCUUUA